CCCCUAGAUGUUCUGGGCCGCACGCGCGCUACACUGAACAGUUCAACAAGUCUUAACCUUGGCCGAUAGGUCUGGGUAAUCUUUGAACGCUGUUCGUGAUUGGGAUGGACCUUUGCAAUUAUGGGUCUUCAACGAGGAAUUCCUAGUAAACGCAAGUCAUCAGCUUGCAUUGAUUACGUCCCUGCCCUUUGUACACACCGCCCGUCGCACCUACCGAUUGAAUGGUCCGGUGAAAUCUCGGGACGGCGGCUUGGUCGCUUGCGUCCGACUGCUGAAACUUGAUUAAACCAUAUCAUUUAGAGGAAGGUGAANUCGUANCA
Molecule: ribosomal RNA, 320 nt
Filed under: uncultured eukaryote
Lineage: Eukaryota
Description: partial 18S ribosomal RNA
Rfam family: Eukaryotic small subunit ribosomal RNA
Source: RNAcentral